GUGCCAGCAGCCGCGGUAAUACGUAGGGUGCGAGCGUUGUCCGGAAUUACUGGGCGUAAAGAGCUCGUAGGUGGUUUGUCGCGUCGUCUGUGAAAUUCCGGGGCUUAACUCCGGGCGUGCAGGCGAUACGGGCAUAACUUGAGUACUGUAGGGGUAACUGGAAUUCCUGGUGUAGCGGUGAAAUGCGCAGAUAUCAGGAGGAACACCGAUGGCGAAGGCAGGUUACUGGGCAGUUACUGACGCUGAGGAGCGAAAGCAUGGGUAGCGAACAGGAUUAGAUACCCUGGUAGUCCAUGCCGUAAACGGUGGGCGCUAGGUGUGAGGGUCUUUUCACGACUUUCGUGCCGUAGCUAACGCAUUAAGCGCCCCGCCUGGGGAGUACGGCCGCAAGGCUAAAACUCAAAGGAAUUGACGGGGGCCCGCACAAGCGGCGGAGCAUGUGGAUUAAUUCGAUGCAACGCGAAGAACCUUACCUGGGCUUGACAUACACCAGAUCGCCGUAGAGAUACGGUUUCCCUUUGUGGUUGGUGUACAGGUGGUGCAUGGUUGUCGUCAGCUCGUGUCGUGAGAUGUUGGGUUAAGUCCCGCAACGAGCGCAACCCUUGUCUUAUGUUGCCAGCAAUUUGGUUGGGGACUCGUGAGAGACUGCCGGGGUUAACUCGGAGGAAGGUGGGGAUGACGUCAAAUCAUCAUGCCCCUUAUGUCCAGGGCUUCACACAUGCUACAAUGGUCGGUACAACGCGUUUGCGAGCCUGUGAGGGUGAGCUGAUCGCUGAAAGCCGGUCGUAGUUCGGAUUGGGGUCUGCAACUCGACCCCAUGAAGUCGGAGUCGCUAGUAAUCGCAGAUCAGCAACGCUGCGGUGAAUACGUUCCCGGGCCUUGUACACACCGCCCGUCAUGUCAUGAAAGUUGGUAACACCCGAAGCCAGUGGCCUGUUAAAGGGAGCUGUCGAAGGUGGGAUCGGCGAUUGGGACGAAGUCGUAACAAGGUA
Molecule: ribosomal RNA, 992 nt
Filed under: uncultured Corynebacterium sp.
Lineage: Bacteria; Bacillati; Actinomycetota; Actinomycetes; Mycobacteriales; Corynebacteriaceae
Description: bacterial SSU rRNA
Rfam family: Bacterial small subunit ribosomal RNA
Source: RNAcentral